AUUGAACGCUGGCGGCAGGCCUAACACAUGCAAGUCGAACGAGUGGCGGACGGGUGAGUAAUGUCUGGGAAACUGCCCGAUGGAGGGGGAUAACUACUGGAAACGGUAGCUAAUACCGCAUACCAUCGGAUGUGCACAGAUGGGAUUAGCUAGUGGGUGGGGUAAAGGCUCACCUAGGCGACGAUCCCUAGCUGGUCUGAGAGGAUGACCAGCAACACUGGAACUGAGAAACGGUCCAGACGCCUACGGGAGGCAGCAGUGGGGAAGAUGGCACAAUGGGCGCAAGACUGAUGCAGCCAUGCCGCGUGGAUGAAGAAGGCCUUCGGGUUGGAAAGUACUUUCAGCGAGGAGGCGUUACUCGCAGAAGAAGCACCGGCUAACUCCGUGCCAGCAGCCGCGGUAAUAC
RNAcentral lists this ribosomal RNA (406 nucleotides) under uncultured bacterium. RNAcentral's name for it is "partial 16S ribosomal RNA". It matches the Rfam family "Bacterial small subunit ribosomal RNA", at positions 29 to 526 of the family's 1533-position model. The record is from RNAcentral.